This 3240-nucleotide small RNA is filed under the name Pongo abelii (Sumatran orangutan). RNAcentral describes it as "processed transcript". The record is from RNAcentral. Lineage: Eukaryota; Metazoa; Chordata; Mammalia; Primates; Hominidae.
AGAACAAUGACUGCGCCGCCGGGUCCCCGGGAGCGCGUCGGAGGACUGUGAGCAGCCGCCGCCGGGAGAGCUGCGGGCGGCGCAGUGUCAACGCUGGGCUCGGGAGCCUCCAGCGCAGAUCCUGCCCAGCGCCCGCAGCCCGCGCGAAGCCGCCGGGCUCCGGCACUGCAGCGCUGCUCGGGGACUGUGCAUUGUUGUGAGCCGGAGAAGGGGCGCGGGGAUUACAAAGCCUGAAGACCCCGGAGCCCCUUUAGCCAUGUGGAUACCUACGGAGCACGAGAAAUACGGCGUGGUUAUUGCCAGUUUCCGAGGAACCGUUCCAUAUGGCCUGUCAUUGGAAAUUGGAGAUACAGUUCAGAUCCUGGAGAAGUGUGAUGGCUGGUACAGAGGAUUUGCCUUAAAAAACCCAAAUAUCAAGGGUAUAUUUCCUUCCAGCUACGUUCACUUGAAAAAUGCCUGUGUAAAGAACAAAGGACAAUUUGAAAUGGUUAUUCCCACUGAAGACUCUGUUAUCACAGAAAUGACAUCAACAUUAAGAGACUGGGGAACCAUGUGGAAACAACUCUAUGUGCGUAAUGAAGGCGAUCUCUUCCACCGGCUGUGGCACAUCAUGAAUGAAAUCCUGGAUCUGAGGAGGCAGGUGCUGGUGGGCCACCUCACCCACGACCGGAUGAAGGAUGUGAAGCGCCACAUUACUGCCCGGCUUGACUGGGGCAAUGAACAACUGGGACUGGACCUGGUGCCUAGGAAAGAGUACGCAAUGGUGGAUCCGGAAGACAUCAGCAUUACUGAGCUCUACCGAUUGAUGGAACAUCGACAUCGGAAGAAAGACACCCCGGUGCAGGCCAGCAGUCACCACCUCUUUGUCCAGAUGAAGAGCCUCAUGUGUUCCAACCUGGGAGAGGAGCUGGAGGUCAUCUUCUCACUCUUUGACAGUAAAGAGAACCGGCCAAUCAGUGAGAGAUUUUUCUUGAGGCUGAAUAGAAAUGGGCUUCCCAAAGCCCCUGAUAAACCGGAACGACAUUGCUCCCUCUUUGUGGAUUUGGGUAGCAGUGAGCUAAGAAAGGACAUUUAUAUCACCGUGCACAUUAUCCGAAUCGGUCGAAUGGGAGCAGGAGAAAAAAAGAAUGCCUGUAGUGUCCAGUACCGACGACCCUUUGGCUGUGCAGUUCUUAGCAUCGCUGACCUGCUAACAGGAGAGACAAAGGAUGACCUCAUUCUGAAAGUGUACAUGUGUAACACAGAGAGUGAGUGGUACCAAAUCCAUGAGAACAUCAUCAAAAAGCUGAAUGCACGUUAUAACUUGACUGGCUCCAAUGCAGGUUUAGCAGUUUCCUUACAGCUAUUGCACGGAGACAUUGAACAAAUCAGAAGGGAAUAUUCAUCAGUAUUUUCUCAUGGAGUAUCCAUAACAAGGAAGCUGGGAUUUUCAAAUAUUAUUAUGCCUGGUGAAAUGAGGAAUGAUUUAUAUAUCACUAUUGAAAGGGGAGAAUUUGAGAAAGGAGGGAAGAGCGUGGCCAGAAAUGUGGAAGUUACGAUGUUCAUUGUAGACAGUAGUGGCCAAACCCUGAAGGACUUUAUCUCCUUCGGCUCUGGGGAGCCACCAGCCAGUGAGUACCACUCCUUUGUGCUUUACCAUAACAACAGUCCCAGGUGGUCUGAACUGCUGAAACUUCCCAUUCCCGUGGAUAAAUUCCGGGGCGCACACAUCCGCUUCGAGUUUCGGCAUUGUUCCACAAAGGAGAAAGGAGAGAAGAAGUUGUUUGGGUUUUCUUUUGUCCCUCUGAUGCAAGAAGAUGGUAGGACUCUUCCAGAUGGCACUCAUGAGCUCAUCGUGCAUAAGUGUGAAGAAAACACAAACCUUCAAGAUACUACCCGCUACCUCAAACUUCCCUUUUCCAAGGGCAUUUUCCUUGGGAAUAAUAAUCAAGCCAUGAAGGCCACAAAGGAGUCCUUUUGUAUUACAUCUUUUCUCUGUUCCACAAAACUCACACAAAAUGGUGAUAUGCUUGAUCUUUUGAAAUGGAGAACCCAUCCAGACAAGAUCACUGGCUGUCUCUCUAAAUUAAAAGAAAUCGAUGGCUCAGAGAUAGUAAAGUUUCUGCAGGAUACACUGGAUACCUUAUUUGGAAUUUUAGAUGAAAAUUCCCAAAAAUAUGGGUCUAAAGUGUUUGAUUCUUUGGUUCACAUAAUAAAUCUGCUGCAAGAUAGCAAAUUUCAUCAUUUUAAACCUGUAAUGGACACUUACAUUGAGAGUCAUUUUGCUGGGGCACUUGCAUACAGAGAUCUCAUCAAAGUGCUCAAAUGGUACGUGGACCGGAUCACAGAAGCAGAGCGGCAAGAGCAUAUCCAGGAGGUGCUGAAGGCACAAGAAUACAUUUUUAAGUAUAUAGUUCAAUCUCGAAGGCUGUUUUCCCUUGCCACUGGUGGGCAAAACGAAGAGGAAUUCCGCUGCUGCAUUCAGGAGCUUCUCAUGUCAGUCCGUUUCUUUCUUUCGCAAGAGAGCAAAGGGUCUGGAGCAUUAUCUCAGUCACAGGCUGUGUUUCUGAGCUCUUUCCCUGCCGUGUACUCAGAACUCUUGAAGCUCUUUGAUGUCCGGGAAGUAGCCAACUUGGUCCAGGACACCCUGGGCAGUCUGCCGACCAUCCUGCAUGUGGAUGAUUCCCUGCAGGCCAUCAAACUGCAGUGCAUUGGCAAAACCGUGGAAAGCCAGCUUUAUACCAACCCAGGUAGGGUGCUGAGUCUCUUGGAGGGUGCUGAGUCUCUUGGAGGAAAUUGUGCCUCUGAAAAGCCAUUUUGUACAUCUUGUAGCCAUUGGUCAGCAGAUGCAAUUAAAAACAAAAAACUAAAAGGCAUUUUCUCAAAACCAUUGUUUAUUUGGAUGGUAAAUGUAUUUAGUAGUCAAAACAAAAGUAUGACAAUUAAAACUUUAUUUCUGGAAAGAGUGAAAACUAAUGAUUACAUUAUUGCUUUUUAUGUUUAAUGGGAUUUAACACUCCUUCAGAGAUGCUUACAGGUGCCUGAUAGGAUCCUUAUUUGUCUCUUUUGUUUUUAAAAGUUUUUCAUCAAUUUACGUUCUGAAGCUGUAUGAAACUUUGUAUUAUUGUUGUUUUUUACUUUACCCCAAGAACAAGUGGUCAGUGACUCAAAUUAAUUUUGUUAUAAUAACUGUUAGUAAGUUCCAUUGCCUCUUGUUUUCUUCUGUUUUUUUUUUCCCAAAGAAAUAACAGAGUGAGUACU